This 400-nucleotide ribosomal RNA is filed under the name phytoplankton environmental sample. Its description in RNAcentral is "partial small subunit ribosomal RNA". It matches the Rfam family "Eukaryotic small subunit ribosomal RNA", at positions 587 to 977 of the family's 1831-position model. The record is from RNAcentral.
AGCUCCAAUAGCGUAUAUUAAAGUUGCUGCAGUUAAAAAGCUCGUAGUUGGAUUUGUGGCGCGGCCGUCCGGCGGGGGUCCUUCUAUGGUCUCGUUUGUCCUGGUUUUCGGCCGCCCCUUUCUCGGGUAGAGCGUAAUGGCUGGCAUUAGGUUGUCGGCCGCUUCGCGCCCGUCGUUUACUGUGAAAAAAUUAGAGUGUUCAAAGCAGGCUUAUGCCGUUGAAUAUAUUAGCAUGGAAUAAUAAGAUAGGACCAGGGUACUAUUUUGUUGGUUUGUGCACCUUGGUAAUGAUUAAUAGGGACAGUUGGGGAUAUUCGUAUUGCGGUGUCAGAGGUGAAAUUCUUGGAUUUCCGCAAGACGAGCUACUGCGAAAGCAUUUAUCAAGGAUGUUUUCAUUAAU